CAAGACUCGUCCCUUUACCAAUUAACUCAGAUAACGUCUGACAGGAAGAAGUGAACCAAAGGUGAUGCACCCAAACACAUACAGGACUUCUCCCAUUAAGAAACAUUUGCUGCUUUACAUGCACACAGCAGGUGAGCGCUGCUGAACUCUCCCAGAAACAGAGAAACUAAGCCUCCCAGCACACAGCAGUGUGUGUCUGUGCGCGCAGGCCCCCCCUGGUCUGCUGUGAGUUCAUUUCUGCACAGAUGAAAUAAGGUUCCACUCGCAUCCGGAGAAAACAAAACGACCACAAGGCGGCUUAGAGGAAAUAGGGGGCGUCGGGUGACGUGGUGACAGCUGCUCGCUGGGGAAUUCAACCGGCUCUCGCCGCAGAGACGUUUACUCCAACAGCACCGUCCAGUCUGCAGGAGUCGGCCGGUUGCUGUGCCUUGCCAAAGGGCACCACGGUCGUCGGUGGAAACAAAUGAAGAUGUCUCGUGUGUUAUUAUACCUUCAAACAUGCAGAACACUAACAAGCUCCCUGAGGCGG
Long non-coding RNA from Gasterosteus aculeatus aculeatus (three-spined stickleback), 529 nucleotides. Lineage: Eukaryota; Metazoa; Chordata; Actinopteri; Perciformes; Gasterosteidae. The record is from Ensembl.